Molecule: non-coding RNA, 71 nt
Organism: Phrynosoma platyrhinos (Desert horned lizard)
Lineage: Eukaryota; Metazoa; Chordata; Lepidosauria; Squamata; Phrynosomatidae
Source: the annotation of a GenBank genome assembly
GCCAGCCUGGCAUAGAGGUUUCAAUAUUGGACUGUGACUCUGGAGACCAGGGUUCAAUUCCCUGCUUGGCC